Drosophila melanogaster (fruit fly) is the source of this 584-nucleotide non-coding RNA. NCBI's taxonomy places the organism in Eukaryota, Metazoa, Arthropoda, Insecta, Diptera, Drosophilidae. The record is from Ensembl.
ACAAGGCAACUAGGCGGCCUGGCCAAAACUGCCAACAGCCAACAGGCAGCAGGCAGCAGCCAAACUGCCAGACAACCGGGCCAAAAGCUGAGCCAUGCGAUGGCAAAACGUGCUGAGUUUUCGUAAUUAGUGCACAAGAGUGCAGGCCAGCCCGUUGGCCACGUGCAGGGAUUUCCAGGGGUAUUCAGUGGUGAGAGGGGUUUAGUCGGGGCAUCGGAGGACCCAAAACACUCUCCAGCCGACGGAGCACGUUUAUGUGGGACUGCUGGCGAUGGUGGUACUGGUGGAGCUGCCUUUUCGGCCUUUUAGAGUUUUAGAGUGUGACAUGGAAUAUGGCAGUGCCUGCGUCAUCUAUCGCCUUCUUGUGCGAGGAGUGUUUCUCCUGCAGAUGGCUUAAGUAAGUUGUUAGUCGCUGGUCGCGUUGCCUCUGCGCGUUUGACACACAAGUUGUCGCCUUUAAGCCACUGCCUCCGAAUAUUGAAUUCCCAAUGAGAUUUUCUUCCUUCUGGAGACGGAAGAAUAAGCGGAUAAAGGAAUAAAGGCACGAAAGUUGGGCAAGGAAUUGGCUGUUAAAAAUUAACAGC